AGUCACUGACAUUAGAUACCCGUGUAGUCCAGGGCGUAAACGCUGCAGACUUGGUGUUGGGAACCCUUCGGGGGUGCUCAGUGCCGGAGAGAAGUUGUUAAGUCUGCUACUUGGGGAGUACGUCCGCAAGGAUGAAACUUAAAGGAAUUGGCGGGGGAGCACCGCAACGGGAGGAGCGUGCGGUUUAAUUGGAUUCAACACCGUAAACUCACCAGGGAAGACUGUUACAUGAAGGCCGAGAUGAAGACUCUGCUAGAUUUUCAG
RNAcentral lists this ribosomal RNA (264 nucleotides) under uncultured archaeon. RNAcentral describes it as "partial 16S ribosomal RNA". It matches the Rfam family "Archaeal small subunit ribosomal RNA", at positions 717 to 982 of the family's 1478-position model. The record is from RNAcentral.